UGGGGAAUGAUGAUGGAAAUUAAAAUGAAUUAAUAGAGACUUUGAGUAAAACUUAGGUAUCUUGUAAGUGUUUAUAAAUACACAGGUUUUGCGUGUGUGUUUUUUUAAAUUUUAAUUUAAAACAUAUUAUAAGUGACUUUCCAAUAGGAAAUUAACUAUUAGGAAACAAUUAAAUAGGAUUAUUCACAUCUCAAAAUAGGAGCCAUAAAUUCUAGGAUAUUUUCUAGGUGUUUUUGUUCUCAGGAGGAGAAUAGGAGAAUAACAUCAUUUUUUGAGGAGGAAUCGCUCAAUCCAUUAACCCCCCCAAAUACCAGAGUUUCCAAUACUUUUGUUGACGCAGUUGAGACUCUGGAUUUGAGGGAAGAAGAAGGGAGGGAGAAAGGAGGAAAAGAAGAAGGAAAGGGUAGAAAGGAAGGGGGAGGAAGAGAAAGAAUGGGAGGUGGAAGAGGUGUAAGAAGGAGUGAGCGAGAGGAAAAAAAGAAGAAAGGGAAAGAGAAGGAAAAUAGACAGGAAAAGAAGGGAAAGUAGAAAAUAAAAAGUAAAGAUAAAAGAAGAAAAAAGUGAGAUGGAAAAGAAUAAGAAAUCGUCUCUUAACCUUUGAAACUAAAGAACUUAAGGGAAUUUAACGAGAGUAUAAAGUUAGUUAAAAUACAAAUUUCAAAAUCGGACCAUUCUAAGUGCUUGUAAGCCUACCUAACAUAGCUUAGCCUCGUCCCUCCCAAACAUCAGAAUUAUACGGAAAUCGAUGAUGCAAGGGAGCUGAAAACGCUCUUAGGAUUCCUAAGGAGGUUCUGGGGAGUAUCAAAUUCAAACACUCUACCUGAUUCAAGAACAAGAAUUUUGUCGUAAUUGAUGAUUGUUUUAAUCCUGUGGGCAAUAGUUAAUAUAGUACACCCUUUAAACUCGGAUUUGAUAGUUUCCUGAAUUAGAGAGUCGGUCUGGAUGUCCACAAAGGAAGUUGCUUCAUCAAGAAGAAGGAUCCUGGAUUUUCUAAGAAUGGCUCUUGUUAGGCAAAAUAGUUGCUUAAUACCCACACUAAGCUGGGUUCCACCUCCUUCUAAUUGGAAGUUUAACUUCCCUGGAAGGUUGUUAACGUAAUCAAAUACGUGCGCCCUUUUAAGAACCUCAUAAAGUUCUUCAUCUGAAUAACUUCCUUUUGGGUCUAAAUUGAACCUUACUGUGCCAGUGAAUAUUACUGGGUCCUGGGGGACUAUAGAAAUAGAUUCUCUGAGCUUUAGAGGGGAAACCUUAGAGGUUUCUAAAUCAUCUAUCAAUAUUGCACCAAAAGAAGGGUCGAAUAGACGAAGUAUUGCAGAAAAUAGACUGCUUUUUCCAGCCCCUGUCCUCCCAACUAUUCCAAUUCUUUCUCCUGGAGAAAUCUUCAAACAUAUAUUGCAUAGAGAAGGAUUAGGAUUAGGGUAGAAUGUCAUAUCCACAUUCCUGAAUUCAAUCUUGCCUUGAGAAGGCCAGUCUUCUGGUACAUUUAUAUUACUUUUCUCUUGAUCUGAUACAACUACUUGGUACAUUUCUGAAUCUGUAUAUGUACGAAUUCUUUCAAACCCAACCAUAUCUGCUUCAAAUUCACCGACAGUAAAGAUACUAUACCUUAACCAUCCAGGUAAAGCUACUGCAAAUGACAAAAUAGUACCAAGAAUACCCGGAUUUGAUAGAUUACAAGCUGAAAGAAGUACGCUGAAAAUCCCUGUUACAACUAAAGUCAUACAACCAAUUACCUCAAGACGGAGGUAAAGCCAAAUAUAGGCAAUGUCCAAGUGAUAUCUGAUAUUAUUUAAAGCAAUUAUUGCAUUAUCCAUUUUUCUAAUAAGCAUGUUCUCUGCUCCAAAUGUGUGAAUUGUUGCUAAGCCUGACAUAGUUUCCAUCAAUUGAGACGUAAUAGGAGCUGUUAAAGCUGCUGACUUUCUUUCACUUUGACGGAUAAUUGGCGGGUACUUUUUGGCCACACAAUAAAAAGCGUAAAAUAUUGGUGGAAUGAAGAAAAGGAACUGUGGUGUUAUUACUCCAACUGAUACCAACAUUGUUGCUGACAUUAAAACUGUUACAGAUGAAUUGUUAAAGCUUGUUGGUAGGAGCUCAUCUAAAUGAACAAGAUCUGAAGUAAACCUGUUUAAUAUUCUUCCAAUUGGAGUGUUUUCAAAGAAUGAAAGAGGAGCAUGCUCAAUAUGAGAAAGAAGCUUAUUGUGAUAGAUCUUAGACACUCCAACACCUCCUACUCGGAAGAUGAUUGUGGUUACAGUGCAAACAAUUGGGAGUACAAUACAUGCUGUCAAGUAUAUGUUAAAGUAAGCUCUCCAGUUUUCUUCAUUAGCAUUUUCUAGCCAUAUUCCAAUGAAGAAAGUAAUAAGUACGUAUAUUGCAACCAAUAAAGAUACAAAAAUUAAUAGUUUAAAGAGAGUGAGCUUUUCGUAAGAGAAUAUGUACUUCAUAUAAGUAUCUAGAGAUACCACUCCUUCUUCUUCCUCCUCUUCCUCUUCUUCAUCAACUUUAAACCUUGAACUCUCUCCUUCCUCUUCUGUUAUAGAGAUUCCUUCUUGACUAUAGUUUUGAGUUGAAUUGCUUUUAAUAAGACUUGUUAGAGUUAAAGACUCUCUUGAACUGUUAUUUGAGCCAAGUUUUGCAAUCUUUUGGUCAUUCUUUGUUUGAGUUAAGUUUGAACCAAAAAGAUUCUUAUAGUGAGGAAACUUUAGCAAUCCAUAGGGAUCUCCCAAAUAUAAGGGUUUCUUGCUGAUGUCAUCCAGAAGUAAAACCUUAUCAACAUGAACAACUAAAUCUGCAAGAUGAGUUGCCAAAAUGACACAUUUAUCUCUAAGCAACCCAAGUAUACAAUUCUUGAAGAUUCUAGCUGAUACAUUACUAUCAACUGCACUAAGACAAUCAUCAAGUGCAUAAAUCUGAGACCUCUGGUAAACAGCUCUUGCCAGACUAAUUCUUUGUCGUUGGCCUCCAGAAAGGUUAUUAGAGCUACCACUUAUCAUAGUUUGGUCACCUUUUGGAAAGAUCUUGAAAUCUGCUACUAAACAACAAGCAUCAACAACUUGAGCAUACCAUUCAGGGUCAAAUGGGGCUCCAAAAAGAAUAUUUUCUCUAAUUGUACCAGUAACAGCCCAAGCUAAUUGAGGAACAUAAGCCAAUUUUCCACUAACCUGUCGAAGUCCUUUAUAAUGCUGAAGUUCAUUAAUUAUGGAAAGCAAUAGACCACUUUUUCCGCUGCCAACUGGUCCUAAAAUAGCCAUCAUUUCCCCAGGAUUUACUUCAAAAGAAAGGUCUUUCAUUAAGAGAGCACCACUUGGCCAUCUUAGCUCAACUUUCUCGUAUUUAACAUUUCCUUUUAUUGGCUCUGAAAGGUCUUGAUCCUCAAUUGGCAUUGCACGAGAGACUUCAGAGCAAGAUGAAGUAUUCAUAAGUGAAUUAAUAUUGGAUCUAUCUUCAAUGACUAGGAAUUCGCUAAUUCUUUCACAUGAUAGAAUUAAAUCCCUGAAUAGAGCAUAAGAUUUGGGGAAGGAGGCAAUAAACUCACUCACUGCAUCGUACACAACGUAUGCAAAGAAUAUAUUGGCAGGGUCAUUAACCUCACCCAUAUACCUUCUUACAAUAAUAGUAAAAAGAAGAGCGUGAAAAACAACAGCAUGGCAUGCUGCUGCAAAUCCCCAACAUGUACCUUGAGCCAGUAAACUUAAGAUUUCGUUUUCUCUAUGUGAAUCAAUAUUUUUGAUAAAAUAUCUUUCCCAAGAGUAUGAUUUAAUAAUCUUAAUGUAAUUAAGAUACUCAGAAGUCAAAAGAAUACGACGAUCUCUGAUUUCUGAAAAUGGCUUUCUUAGAUAGGCUCUGAUAUUUAGGAAGCUAAUACUCCAUGUAGCAUGAGCAAACAUAACUAAUAUUCCAACAAUUCCUGAAAUUCCAAUAUUCAUAUAAAGCAUUAUAGCUGCAAUAGUGACCGAACAAGCGCCAUAGUAGAAUUCGUGACUUGUAUAUAGCCUUCCAAACCUAGAAACAUCGUUAUUUAGAAGAUUAACAACGUUUCCAGACAUGCCAAAGGAUCCCGUAGCUCCUUGCAGAGAAAUUUCUGAAGCCACAGAAAGUCUGGCUUUGCUAGCUCUAGAAGAGAGCUCUGUGUUUGAUUGAGGGCUUUCUGAAAAUAUAUUCGAGUCCAAAUUCAAUAAUUUCCUGUAAACAACCCCAGUAAUCAAGGAGCGAAUUUGCCUCCCUAAUCUUGUAACAAUCCUGGUUUCUUGCUGUCUUAAAACUGCAUAAGCAAUUAUGAGGGUUGUCAUUGCAAAUAUAUAGGCAAAACCUUUGCAAGCAAUACUUGAACUAAAUCUCUCAGGAACAAUCCCCAAAAUAACUGCCCACCAAGGGAUAGCUGAAUCAGCAGAAGAUUCAACUCUGGGAAUGAGCUCAGAAGAUUGAAUACAUUCCAAGAGCUUUCUUAGUAGAAAUAUCUGAGUUAAAUUACAGAUAUUUGAAAAUAUAACUAAAGCAAAUAUAAUAAAUAUUUGCUUACUGUAACACUGGAAUAAUACCCUGGCCAGUGAAGGAAAUUUAAGCUUUUUACUAGAAGCAGAACUAUUUGUAUUAGUGUUAUUCCCAUUUUUGUUUUCAAACACUUUAGAUUUUCCAAAUCUUUCACAUUCUGCCUUCCAUUUAUCUUCAAAGUUAGCAAGCGAGUAACUUGGAUCGUUUUGCUCCGGUAAAUGGUAAUACUCAUCCAAAGAUAGUAUAUGGUCAUAUGCAGAGUCAAUUAUUGGAGUAAACCAAGAAAAAGUAAAUUUAGAUAAGAAGCUAGCACUCUCUUCUGGAGUUAUUCCACCAGUUUUUUUGUGUAUAAACGGCUUUUCAUCUUGUACUUGAUCAUCAUUUUCUUUUUUCAAAUUUCUAUUAAAAAUCCCUCCAAGCAUUUUACAGUGCAAAGAUGAGCUCUUUCGAAGCUAAACCUCCUUGCUUAACUUUUUUUUCCUUAGCUUUAACCCUUCUCUAAAUUUGAUUGAUUUAC
RNAcentral lists this non-coding RNA (5008 nucleotides) under Cryptosporidium parvum. The record is from RNAcentral. Lineage: Eukaryota; Apicomplexa; Conoidasida; Eucoccidiorida; Cryptosporidiidae.